CCCUUAGAUGUUCUGGGCCGCACGCGUGCUACACUGAGUAAUUCAAUGGGUAAGGGAACGCUAGAGCAUUACCUAAUCUUGAAAUUUGCUCGUGAUGGGGAUCGACGGUUGCAAUUUUCCGUCGUGAACGAGGAAUACCUUGUAGGCGCAUGUCAUCAUCAUGCGCCGAAUACGUCCCUGCCCUUUGUACACACCGCCCGUCGCUCCUACCGAUUGAGUGAUCCGGUGAGGCUCUGGGACCUGGACGGAAAGAGCGUUUCGCUUGUUCUGUUUGGGAAACUUGGUCGAACCUUAUCAUUUAGAGGAAGGAGAAGUCGUAACAA
This 323-nucleotide ribosomal RNA is filed under the name uncultured eukaryote. RNAcentral's name for it is "partial 18S ribosomal RNA". It matches the Rfam family "Eukaryotic small subunit ribosomal RNA", at positions 1470 to 1797 of the family's 1831-position model. The record is from RNAcentral.